AGCCGGUUAGCUCAGUGGUUAGAGCAUAAUGUUCUUAACAACAAGGUUGCUGGUUCGAUCCCAGCAUGGGCCA
Hipposideros armiger (great roundleaf bat) is the source of this 73-nucleotide non-coding RNA. The record is from the annotation of a RefSeq genome assembly. NCBI's taxonomy places the organism in Eukaryota, Metazoa, Chordata, Mammalia, Chiroptera, Hipposideridae.